GAUGAAGAACGCAGCGAAAUGCGAUAAGUAGUGUGAAUUGCAGAAUUCCGUGAAUCAUCGAGUCUUUGAACGCACAUUGCGCCCCCUGGUAUUCCGGGGGGCAUGCCUGUCCGAGCGUCAUUGCUGCCCUCAAGCACGGCUUGUGUGUUGGGCCCCGCCCCCCGGCUCCCGGGGGGCGGGCCCGAAAGGCAGCGGCGGCACCGCGUCCGGUCCUCGAGCGUAUGGGGCUUCGUCACCCGCUCCGUAGGCCCGGCCGGCGCCCGCCGGCGACCCCCCUCAAUCUUUUCAGGUUGACCUCGGAUCAGGUAGGGAUACCCGCUGAACUUAAGCAUAUCAAUAAGCGGAGGA
RNAcentral lists this unclassified non-coding RNA (348 nucleotides) under soil metagenome. Its description in RNAcentral is "partial contains 5.8S ribosomal RNA, internal transcribed spacer 2, and large subunit ribosomal RNA". The stretch from base 1 to 120 matches the Rfam family "5.8S ribosomal RNA", at positions 35 to 154 of the family's 154-position model. The record is from RNAcentral.